GUAGGCGGACAUGUUAGUCAGAUGUCAAAUCCUCCGACUCAAUCGGAGAACUGCAUUUGAAACGGCAUGUCUAGAGGGAGUGAGAGAUCUAUGGAACUCAUGGUGUAGCAGUGAAAUGCGUUGAUAUCAUGAGGAACACCAAAGGCGAAGGCAUUAGAUUGGCACUCUCCUGACGCUGAGAUGCGAAAGUGUGGGUAGCGAAUGGGAUUAGAUACCCCAGUAGUCCACACCGUAAACGAUGUAUAUUAGGCAUUGGAAGUAUCGACCCUUUCAGUGUCGUAGCUAACGCGUUAAAUAUACCGCCUGGGAAGUACGGCCGCAAGGCUAAAACUCAAAGGAAUAGACGGGGAUCCGCACAAGUGGAGGAUCAUGUGGUUCAAUUCGACGAUAAGCGAGAAACCUCACCAGGGCUUGAAACUAAGCUGCAAGGCCAAGAAAUUGGUCCGCCUUCGAGGGUGCUUAGCAGGUGCUGCAUGGUUGUCGUCAGCUCGUGUCGUAAGAUGUUCCGUUAAGUCGGGAAACGAGCGCAACCCCUGUCGUGUGUUAUAUAUGUCACACGAGACUGCCCAGACUUUUGAGCACAAGCUCAAAAAUGUAUCAUGUAUUUUGUAGUAUGUAUUAUGUAUGAAUUGAAUUUAUACAUUAUACUUUAUACAUUAUACUUUAUACUUUUUUGUUCGCUUGCGAACAAAAGUCUGGGAGGAAGGAGGGGAUGACGUCAAAUCAGCAUGGCCCUUUGACGCCCUGGGCGACACACGUGAUACAAUGGCCGGUACAGAGGGUUGCCAAACCGCGAGGUGGAGCUAAUCCCAAAAAGCCGGCCCCAGUUCGGAUAGGAGUCUGCAACUCGACUCCUUGAAGCCGGAUUCACUAGUAAUCGGAGAUCAGAACGCUCCGGUGAAUACGUUCUCGGAUCUUGUACUCACCGCCCGUCACACCAAGAGAGUCGGUAACACCCGAAGGCCCCGGGUUAAAUCGGGGACAACGGUGGGAUCGAUAAUAAGGGUGAAGUCGUAACAAGGCAUCCGUAGCGGAAGCUGUGGAUGGAUCACCUCCUU
This 1058-nucleotide ribosomal RNA is filed under the name Candidatus Moranbacteria bacterium GW2011_GWC2_45_10. Its description in RNAcentral is "bacterial SSU rRNA". It matches the Rfam family "Bacterial small subunit ribosomal RNA", at positions 571 to 1532 of the family's 1533-position model. Lineage: Bacteria; Candidatus Moraniibacteriota. The record is from RNAcentral.